Molecule: ribosomal RNA, 820 nt
Filed under: uncultured marine bacterium
Lineage: Bacteria
Description: bacterial SSU rRNA
Rfam family: Bacterial small subunit ribosomal RNA
Source: RNAcentral
GGGGCCAGGCGGCUCCUACCAUGCAGNCGAACGAAGUAGCAAUACUUAGGUGGCACACGGGAGAGUAACAUGUAGGUAUCUACCCUAUGGCCUGGAAUAACACGAGGAAACUUGUGCUAAUACGUGGAUAAUUCUUUACGGACAAAGCUUUAUGCACCAUUGGAUGACCCUGCACUUGAUUAUUUUGUUGGGGGGGAAAUGGCCUACCAAGACUGUGAUCAAUACCUGAUUUGAGAGGAUGAUCAGCCACAUUGGGACUGAGACACAGCCCACACUCCUACAGGAGGCAGCAGUGGGGAAUCUUGCACAAUGGAGGAAACUCUGAUGCAGCAAUGCCGCGUGAGUGAAGAACGCCUUUGGGUUGUAAAGCUCUUUCGUCGGGGAAGAAAAUGACUGUACCCGAAUAAGAAGGUCCGGCUAACUUCGUGCCAUCAGCCUCGGUAAUACAAAGGGACCUAACGUACUUCGGAAUUACUGGGCUUAAACAGUUCGUAUGUGGUUGAAAAAGUUGGUGGUGAAAUCCCAUAGCUUAACUCUGGAACUGCCAUCAAAACUUUUCAGCUAGAGUAUGAUACAGGAAAGCACAGUUUCUAGUGUAGAGGUGAAAUUCAUAGAUAUUAGAAAGAAUACCAAUUGCAAACGCGGCUUUCUGGAUCAUUACUGACACUGAGGAACGAAAGCAUGUGUAGCGAACAGGAUUAGAUACCCUCGUAGUCCAUGCCGUACACGAUGUGUGUUAGACGUUGGAAAUUUAUUUUCUGUGUCGCAGUGAAAGCGAUAAACACACCGCCUGUUGAGUACGACCGCGAGUGUUAAACUC